RNAcentral lists this ribosomal RNA (497 nucleotides) under uncultured bacterium. Its description in RNAcentral is "partial 16S ribosomal RNA". It matches the Rfam family "Bacterial small subunit ribosomal RNA", at positions 28 to 507 of the family's 1533-position model. The record is from RNAcentral.
GAUGAACGCUGGCGGCGUGCCUAAUACAUGCAAGUCGAGCGAACGGACGAGAAGCUUGCUUCUCUGAUGUUAGCGGCGGAUGGGUGAGUAAAACGUGGAUAACCUAUCUAUAAGAAUGGGAUAACUUCGGGAAAACGGAGCUAAUACCGGAUGAUAUUUUGAACCGCAUGGUUCAAAAGUGAAAGACGGUCUUGCUGUCACUUAUAGAUGGAUCCGCGCUGCAUUAGCUAGUUGGUAAGGUGACGGCUUACCAAGGCAACGAUGCAUAGCCGACCUGAGAGGGUGAUCGUCCACACUGGAACUGAGACACGGUCCAGACUCCUACGGGAGGCAGCAGUAGGGAAUCUUCCGCAAUGGGCGAAAGCCUGACGGAGCAACGCCGCGUGAGUGAUGAAGGUCUUCGGAUCGUAAAACUCUGUUAUUAGGGAAGAACAUAUGUGUAAGUAACUGUGCACAUCUUGACGGUACCUAAUCAGAAAGCCACGGCUAACUACGUG